This is a long non-coding RNA of Papaver somniferum (opium poppy), 2418 nucleotides long. RefSeq lists it as uncharacterized. The transcript is spliced from 2 exons. NCBI's taxonomy places the organism in Eukaryota, Viridiplantae, Streptophyta, Magnoliopsida, Ranunculales, Papaveraceae. The record is from RefSeq and is a predicted model, not a curated record.
AGAGAUGUUCUGGUGACAAAAGGUGAUGUAUGCAUAUCUAUUUCGUCGUCGGCUCCCCAUUGCUGCAGCAAUCACCUAGUAUAUAUUGGAUCAAAGACCAAAAUUUUAUAAAGAAAAUGAUCCUUAUUAAAAGCUAUGCAUGAUCCAAUAUCAUUUACAAGAGAACACACAAUUUAAUAAUUCACCGUGAAUAUUUGAUUCAUGCUUUAACAUGCGAUUCCAUUCAUAAAAUAGAAAAACGAUUUACGAUUUCACAACCUUGGGCCACAUAGUAUUUGUAUGACCCGACCACGUCGUAGCACCGCCCGGCCUUGGACCAACCGAAACGUCAUCCUUCUAUCACACGGACAGAUGACCCUCUUAUAAUUCUGAAUCUGAAAAUGAAAAGCAGUUCCUUCCCUAAAUCAAACAACACAGAUGAACAAGGAAGACAUUCUGAAUCUGAAAAGCAGUUCCUUUCCUAAAUCAAACAACACAGAUGAACCAGGAAGACAUCUCGAGUCUGAAAACCAGUUCCUUUCUAAAACGAAACAACACAGAUGAACAAGGAAGACAGAUGAUCCUUUUCUAUUCUGAAUCUGGAAAGCAGUUCCUUUCCUAAAUCAAACAACACAGUUGAACAAGGAAGACAGAUGACCCUCUUCUAUUCCGAAUCUGAAAAGCGGUUCCUUUCCUAAAUCAAACACAAUUAAACAAGGAAGUUAGGCUAUCAUAUAAAGUGCAUAAACUCUUCAGAUCCAUUCAUUGUCAACAGAAUUCUGUGUUCACUCGCUCUUUCUUCUUUUUAAUACCCAAUCCGGUGGAUCUCAUGGACAAGCAAUUAGCAUCAGGAUCAGCACCAGCAAAGGCAGCCGGGAGAAGUGAAAGACAACGCCCACCGAAUCCAAAGGCAGCACCUUGGCUUGUUUUUCCACAUGGAAAAGGUAGGAAAUUUCAGAGCUUUUACAAUCCUUGUGAACCCAAUAAUAGAAAUUGCAUGAAGUCUAUACCGGAGUUGAAAGGAAGAGCAUAUUUUCAUAAACCUUCUCAUAAUGUUGAAGAUAAAGCUGCGUAUUCUGUGGAUAUCUCUAAUUUAGAUGAUUGUUUCUUGUGGAACCCUGUAUCAUCCCAAACUAUAUAAUUACCUAAACUUAAUCUUCAGUCUUUUAGUAUCCAAUCAGAUCAAUAUUUUUUGUAUGACUUAGUGUUAUCCUCGCCACCUCUGAGUAUUACUUCUGGUCAUCACAACCUAGGCUGCCUGGUUUGCCUCCUUUUUAAACAUGUUGACCAUCCAAAAAUUACCGAGGAUAUGCACGUACUAGCUUUUUGUCGACUUGGAGACAGUCAAUGGAGAACAAAGUUCUUGUCUGUAGUAGAUCCUACCGAUAUAUGUACUCCACUGUCUAUUACGUCCCUGCUUUGCGUUGAAGGUAAGCUAUACGCGUUCUGUAAGAAUUCCCUUGAAGACGGUUGGGUUAUACGGAUCGAAUUACUAGGACUAUGUCAUCAGUCCUUCCAAUAUGAAAGGCUAGAAAGCAGAUAUAUCGAAAUAAUUAAGCUAGAGCACGCCCACUUUACAUGGAUGGGAGCAGGUGAGGAAUUCAGUCGUAGAACAUUGGAUUGAAUCUGGUAAUGAAAUCUUCAAAGUUCAUUUGAAUUGCAGUCCAAGAGGUUUCAAAAAAGUUGCCUCGACACAUAUCUUCAAGCUGGAUUUCUCAUCAAUGACUUGGGUUUUGUUGAAAUCUUUGGAUGAUCAUGUUCUCGUUUUGUGCUCAAACAUGGACAUAUUAGACUCUAGAAAGUGUUAUUCAACUUCCACAGCAUGUUGCUCCGCGGCCGACAUGGGUCUUGAAAGGGGUUGCUUGUUUUAUACACUACUCGGAGAUCAAACGUUGUACACAUUUGAAGUUGAAGACAAUGCUACUACAGUUAUCUUGCCAUGUUUGAAUCUUCCAACUCCGUGGUUCUACCCACUUGGAUAAUGAUGCCUACAACAGAAAACAGGCACCUUGCUGGAAGAAGGGGAAGAAUAACAGAUCUUCUUCUAAGCCCAGAUACAACUGAAACCAGUUUAGAAGAGGAGAAAAUGAGCAGGCUAAAUAUUAGAAGAGGAGAAUUAGAAGCCUUUAAACAGUGGGAUUUUCUUAAUCAUUAUGACAUGCUAAAUAUUAGAGGAGGAGAAUUAGAAGCCUUAAAACAGUGGGAUUUUCUUACAGGGGUUAGUCCACGAGUGAGUUGGAGGGAGUUUAAUGUAUUUUGAAUCUUGGGGAUUUUGAGGGAGUGUAAGAGAGUAUAGGGAGUUUGAGAGAGUUUGGUGUGUUGAGUGUAGGGAGUUUGAGAGACUCUCCCAAAAUCUCUACUUUUUUGAGAGAUUUGGAGUGAGGCAAAAAUACACUAUAAACUCCCUAUAACUCCAAAAAAAAAACAAACUUCCUAUCA